This 262-nucleotide signal recognition particle RNA is filed under the name Anaeromicropila populeti. RNAcentral's name for it is "Clostridium populeti Bacterial large signal recognition particle RNA". It matches the Rfam family "Bacterial large signal recognition particle RNA". Rfam says of the family: The signal recognition particle (SRP) is a universally conserved ribonucleoprotein involved in the co-translational targeting of proteins to membranes. Archaeal SRP consists of a 7S RNA and homologues of the eukaryotic SRP19 and SRP54 proteins. Lineage: Bacteria; Bacillati; Bacillota; Clostridia; Lachnospirales; Lachnospiraceae. The record is from Rfam by way of RNAcentral.
CCGUGCAGCCGGGGAGUUAGCGGUGCCCUGAACCUGCAAUCCGCUAUAGCAGGGGUGAUAUUUUGCCUAGGAUUUGUUUUUGUAGGGCUGCCCUUUAUAAGUGGCGUUGACGUUUUGGUCUUGCGCAACAGGAAUUUGUGAACCGUGUCAGGUCGGGAACGGAGCAGCACUAAGCAAAAUCUCCUGUGUGCCGUAAGGUAGCUGGGACUGAGUUAACUGUAGAGGUAACGCCUAUGAGGCAAAUACAAAGCAAAAUGCACGG